UAAACCACGUUGAAAGAACAAAUGUGAGGCGCAUCAGGCUGCGUUAAAAGUGCCCUGGAUUUACCGACUCUGUUGGAAAAAUGUUUCUCAACGACGCGAAGUCAUCAGGCAAAAUCCUUAGCUCUCCUUUUGCAAAGUAAACAAUCUCCCCACGUAAAUCACACUCACAGCAUAGGGAUUAUGAAGUAUAAAUAGAAUUUCAUGGUGUUUGCAGUGGCUCUGAAAUACCGGUGUACAAAAGUAGGCUGGCACGCAGUGCCCUUCCGUUUAGCAGUUGGAAGUGAGACCAGCAGGGGUGGUAGGUAUUGGAAUCAGGUCUGGACAGCAGAGCUUGUACAGCAGGCGUCUUGUGUUUAGGAUCUGAAACGCAGUGAGCCGAGCCACGCGCCCUGCCCAGGGUGACGCUCACCCUCUGCCGUCACAGGUCUUGUCGCCAGAGAGGGCGCCGCAGCUGCUCACAGUCACCUUCAGGAUGAAGGCGACACUGGCGCGGUUUCACGCGAAGGGCAGGCUGUUGGCUUGGCCCUGGGAAGUGCAGGCCUGGUGUGGCAGCUCCAAUGCCUGGCCAGAAAUGCAACUGCGUUUUGCAUGAAAAGGAUUUUUAUCAAAGCGCAUUCAUGGAACAGUGUUACUCUGAUGGUUGUUUGGCUUCUGAUUUCAGCCUUUUUCAUUCACUUCAAAGACGUUUUUUAAAAAUGUGCCUGGACUUUGUACCCAGAGGCAGACAAGCCGCAGAGACCAGCUCUGCAAGAGGCACCCGCGUGGUGCCAGGCACGUGGAGGUGCUCGGUCCUGUAGCCGUUCCUCUGUGGGAGACGAGGGCAGCUGUGCCGUGGUCUCUAGACUCGGUGCCAGGCUGACCUUCCAUUUCAGACAAGUGUCAGUUUCACCCCUGACGUGUCGUGGGUGGAGGUGACAUCCACGCGCUUGCUGGACUCCACGAGCGCGUCUCUCCGAAGCGUGGGCCCGGCCCCCGCCUUGGUCCAGACGCCCCCCGUUCUUGUUCCCUUCCAUCCUUGCUCGCCGUCGCCCGGUCUGGCCUCUGCCCCGGGCCUGCCCUGGCGGGGCUGCUGGCCCAGGCCUUCCUUCCUCGGUACCCGCGUAGCAGUUGGCCCGUGGGCAGACCCUUCAACUUAGAGGUCCGUCUCGGUUUCCGUGGCAGCGCAGGCCGGUUUCUCCCCUCCUCCGAAGGUCCUUCCUCCUCCGUGCGACGCGGCCGUGUCUGUCCUCAGCUUCCUCCUGGGUCCGCGCGGUGCUCUGGGCGGCCGCACCCACCUCUAGACGGCAGCCGCCAGGCACGUUCCUGCCGCCCGCGCCCAGGCGGCUUCUCUGGCGGCAAGGGCUCGAGGUCCUCUCCACACCCAGACCCGUGUUCACAUCCACACCCGGCUGACGUGCAGACGCCUCAAGCUCACGCGUUCACGACGGCGCUCACGGCCCCACCGGGCCCACGCGCUCUCCCCUCGGCGUCCUGGGCCCUCGUCUGCCGCCUCUUCCUCUGGCCCAGAGCUCCCUGCGUACAGUUCCAUUAAAAGGCUUGUCUUUGUUCUCGGUCUUAUCCGUGAGACUCUCUUUUUGUCAUUGUUUCCUUAAAAUGCAGCAUGAUGCCUAUGACAGAAGCAACGGUUAAGUGACCUCAGAGUGUGGGAACGCUGGGGAGUGUCUCAUGCCAGCUGGGUUGGAUUCAGUUUAAAUUGAAGGACCCAGAAGACCCCGUGGACGUGCGAAGUCACGGUUAAGUCCAGUUCGCAAACUCUUUGUAAAGAAAUGGCACCCACGUCUUUUUACGUGUAUUUGGCCUUCGCUUUGAUUGAAGCAUGUGGGGGGACUCUGGUGACUUCAGGGCUUCCAGGUCCCUUUCUGCCAUCAUGUCAGUGACACGUGCUCUGACCUCAAGGCAAGUAGUUGAGCCUGCCACCCAAUCCCGUCACCCACUGUCUUCCAGCUCCACGUGGCACUGGAUAGUUCAUGUUCAUUUACUUAGAGUUGAGUACUAAAUGCAUUCAAGUGUGACCGCUUUGAACGACAGUCUGUGGUCUGGGUCUUCCCUUCUGGAUGUAAACUUCAGGGGAGCCCCGUCCUGUCUGCUUCACUGCUGGGUCUCGGGCACUCAGCUUGGUGCUGAAGCCACAGGCGUGUAGGAGUUCUGGAAAAACGCAGUGAGUGAAUAAUCAAUUGCUGUAUCAGUUAAUAAAAACCACAGGCACCAAGUCACCGAACAUGGGCCCUGGGAGCCCAGUCUGGGCACGGCAGGCCCUUAGACGGCAGGGCUGUUGCCAUGGCAGCCUCCUUUGGCACCUCUGUGCCCGCCGCUGGGUGAGACUUCUCUGACGUCACCUCCUCGAACCCCUGUGACAGCCUCGAGGGUCUGCACUGUAAUUCUCCUCACUUAUGGGGAGGAGCCCGGGGCUCCGGGAGACUAAGGGCCAGCACCAGUGGCGACAGAACCCAGACAGGUUCCCCAGCCUGCAGGGGCUCUCGGGAGGAUUUCAAGUCUCUCCUGUGGUCGAAGACAGGAUGCUGGGGCUGCCAGGGGCGGAGUGGAGGGGACGGAGGCAGCAGGGACAGGUGGCGGGACGGCUGCCCAGAGGCAGAGGGGCUGAGGCCCUGAGACGACGCGGGGGACAGCUGCGUGACUUGGCCGUCUGUGAGCUGGCCUCCCUCGUGUGUCCUCACUCCUAAGGUCUGGCAGAGGCUUCCCACAGCCACGUCCUCGAGCCUGCGGCUCCUGCAAGAGGCGGGGAGGCCUGAGGUCUGCGCGGCAGGGGUUUGGGCUGUUGGUGGUUAACGAGAGGGUUCUACGUGUGGAGACACAUCAGAGUCACACCGCCUCCUUCCAUCAUCUUCCGCCUUGGGGACACAAUCCCGUUUUCACUGAGGUUGCAGAGGUAGCAUUUCUAGUCUUACUCCUCUCCCAAGAAACCAAGGCAGAGGUGGGGGGGAGUAUUUUCAAAGAAUUUUGUUGGUAAAUUUUUUGUAAAGCUGCGCUACUCGUUCAGCGACUUCUUUGUCCCUUGGCGACUCACUCCCUCUGCACAGGCAUCUCUGAGAAGGAGCUGAGCCCUGUCCAGGGACCGCGUCAUGUGUUCGCAGCCGUUCAGGUCUUGGGGCGGGGGUUGGGGGGAACACAGGUGACAGAGGACAGUUCCUCUCUGCUCUGAGGAGCCCCACCGCCUUGGAGCCCCGGGUCUUUCUGGAAGAAACCUCUGAGGCUCUGCUCCACCUGAGCCGCUCCCGGCCCCUCGACGUGAAUCAGGGCAAAAACUCCUGCCCGCUAAGAGCCCUUCCUGUGACGCGGCUCGCAGGGCACACGCUGGGCAAGACCCCCUGAGGCAGACCCUGCCCUCUGCGUGGCUUCACCUUGUUCAGGCAGCCAGCUGGCUGAAGGGAAAUGCGAGCAGCAAAGAAUGGCCUUCAAAGGGAGGCUCCCAGUUCAAUGAAAGAGUGUGUCUCCCCUAUGAUGGGAGGCGCUGCAUCACAAGUGGGUGUUUUGUGCCCAGUUGAAUUAAAAAAAAAAUAGGUUGGUCUUAAAAGCUGUUAAUGAUAGAACACAUGGCACAAAUUAUAUGGUAAACUCCAAACAACUCUGAAAUUACAAACAUUGCUUAGUCAGGGCUUCUCCUUUAAUGAUGCCCUGAUGUGGCUGGCAGGGCCCAGUGAUUUCAGCCAGUGUUAUUUUACUUGAAAGGAGAAAUUUCUUUUCCCAAAAAAGUCUCUCUGAGAAAAGCUGUCUUCCUGGCCGACGUCAUGAAACGUCUUGCAUGUGGCCAGGGCCAGAGAGCAGGAGGCAGGCCGGAGGUUAGGAAGCGAGGGUCGAGUGAUGAGAAGACGCUGCGGCUGGUCCUGACACGGGCAGGUGCUGACCCAGUCGGGCGCUGUGACUGGGGCCCGUCAGGGCCCUGAGGCCGCUCUGAGACCUGCGCAGAGGAGGGUCUGGGGUUUGCUUCUCGGAGCAGCUGCCCAGGGUGGGGAGCAGAGAGAUGUCUCUUCAGUGGUGAGAGUAUUUAUAGCAUUUAUAACUGUCUUUUCUUAAGCACUUACUAUAGGCCAGUCACUUGUCCAAAUACUUUAUGUCCGAUAUCUUAUUUAAUAUUAACGACCUUUGGGAGCGGUACUGUAUUGCUUUAGUACAGACGGUAACUGGGGCUCAGAGAGGCUAAACUCUGCCCAGGGUCACAGAGCGCGUACCAGGAUGCUAGCCCAGCGGUGGGCCUUCUUCCCUGGGGCGUCCCUAGGAAACUGUGUGUAACGGUGUCUUUUGAGCAGCAAGUGCCGAGGAAGGGCCAGCCAUGGGCUCUGGGGACAGAAGGGCAGACCCGUGGCCCCUGUCGGUAGUCCUCAGCAGAGGUUUUGUCGGCGCUCGCAUCCCAGUCUCAGUCCUGGAGAACCAGCCGGCACCCAGAGAGGAAGACCGGCGCCCUUUGGUCGCCACGGUGAGAGCCUCUUAGAGAGGCCUCCUCUUGCUCCCAAGUCUCCACUUCCCGGAGCCUGAUUUCACCAGAGUCCCCUCCCCUCCGGUCUCGUGGCGGGUCCUCCUUCCGAUUAUGUUUCUCGGGAGGCUCGUGGGCCUGUAGGGUAGGCGGCUGGUUAGCAGAGGGAAGGCGACAGGUGUUGGUUUGAUCCAGCACAGCCCUGCUGGGACCAGAUCCAUAAACAAAAACGCUCGGGGUGUGAAAAACGAACUUGCGAUGCAAUAUUAUUUUCUAACUCCAGACCAGAAGCGGGAUGGGCGGCUCUCUGACAGCCCCCCCUGCCACGUGGGGUGCUCGGUCCAGACGGUCCAUGACCGGCGAGUCGCAUCGCGGGCCGGGCUCCCUGAGUCUCCGCACUCGCUCAGCCUGGGCUCUGCCAGGCGCUGCGGGAUUCGGGUGAGAAGCAGUCUGGGCCUCGGUGGGGGCCCCAGAGCCUGAGGACUAACCGCACAAACCAAAAAUCACAGUGAAAUGUGCAACGUACUGUGGGAAACCCGCGACGGCCGUGCUGAAGCAGGGCAGCCACACGGGCCACGGGAGGUGGCGUCGGGAUGACCGUCGUGUUGGCCUCGGGACACAGUGAUGCUCCGGGAGCAGCAGGGCUCGUGUGGGGUCGGGAUUUCUGAUUCGUGUCUCACUCUCAGCGGCUGUCUGGGGCGUGCUGAAAAGCGAGAGAAGUCGAGGUUGACAGCACACCCAGGAUUCGGCCCCAUUUGGGUGUUAGUGAGGGGAGUUGGCAUCACAGAGCCCCUCCCUGGCGUGUGGCAUCCGGGGAACCUCCGCCUCAACCGCCAUGAGGGGCCAGACCCCACACUGGGCAACGUCCAAGGCUUCCUUCAGUGGCAUCGCCUCCUGCGCUGGCCCAGGGGUGGCUGUUCGCUGUCUGUCUGAGGAUCAUUUGUGAGAAGCACGGACAGGUUGCAGAUCUGGCUCCCACUUCUGAGUCGGUCCCGUGGCCCAAUAGCAGAGCGAGAAGCUGGGCGGGUGCCUGCCGAGCCCGAGGCCCCGUCUGAGAAGGGGCGAAUGAGCAGGCGCUUCAGAGCAAGAGUACCUUGGAGCUUUAAGGUGUUACACCGCGGGGUCGAUAUUCAGCAUCUCAGCUAGUGCUGGCCGUGUGUGCCCCCGGGAGCCUUUGGUACAUGAUAUCCCACUCAGGAGACCCAGGGUGGCAGGCCGGGCUUUAGAAGGUGCUUUGGAAAAGCCCGGUGGGUUCAGGGGCUCUGAAAUGUAAGCUGCUUCUGUCUGUAUCAUAUUUCAGCAGGUUCCAGAACAGCAGUCGUUGCAGUCAUUGGUCUGUUCCUGCUAUCUAUCUUUAUUUAUUUAUUGUUGCUUUUUAGGGCCGUACUGGCAACAUAUGGAGGUUCCCAAGCUAAGGGUGGAAUUGGAGCUGCAGCUGCCAGCCUACACCACAGCUCACAGCAACACAGGAUCCUUAACCCCCUGAGCAAGGCCAGGGAUCGAACCCGCAACCUCAUGGAUACUAGUCUAUUACCCACCAAGUCACAAUGGGAACGCCCUGUGCUAUUUAGAAGCAUCAUCUUUGAGAAAAGAUGCUGUGAUCAUCGCCAAUAAUAAUUUAUAGUUUGGACUUGUGACUUUUUCCUCUUUCUGCUUAAGAACUUUAAAAAAGCCUUUCUGGAGAAUUUUUUUUUUUCCUUUUGAAUAUGAGAAUUGUGGCUCCAAACUCAAUCCAAACCAAAUUUCCAGUGUGGAAUUAUAACUCCCACCUCUGAAUGGAACCGUGGAGUCCCGCAGCCAGAGUGGCAAUUGGCAGUUGUACCCAGUCUCCGAGGACACGCCGUGGGAUGCCAGCCAAGAAAAAGAGCGGGCAAGGAGCACGCGGGGAAAUGCUAAAACCAGCUGCACAGAGCUGGGUCUUAGUGCUGCUGCUGCUACAACAGGCUCCUUCUCCUUCGGUCACCAGCGUCCGUCCUGUCGCCCCGUGGCUGCUCCGAGCUGGAGCAGCAGGAGUCCUCCCUCCCCGUGUUGAUGCCCGUGGCUCAGUGCCGGGAACAGCAGGGCCGGGGCUGGCCUGGCUCCGUCAUUAGCACCCUUUGCAGCAGGCCUCUUGUCCUCUCUGAGCCCAGAGCAUCACCUGUGACGUGGACGUCCCAGCCAUGUCCGAGGUCACGGCGAGGAAACCCGCCUGCAGUGUGUGUCGCGUUAUUUCAGGCGUUCCGCACUGGCAGGAGAGACCAGGCCCCAGACACUCAGACGCCGGGGGCUGGGGGCCGGGAACACGGUUGUCCCGGAGCCUGCGUCACGCCCUGGCUUCCAUUCCUCCUUCCCUUGGCCAGGUCUGGGGCUGGGGAGAACUAUCUACAGUGGGGCUUCACGUGCUGCUUCUGCUGUGGUCUGGGCCCCGCCCGCCUCCCGCGGGAGCCCCGGCCCACCUGCGGUCCUGGGUGUGGGCCGACUCCUCCGGCUCCGGAGGGUCCACAGGCUCAGGGGUUGGUUGUUAUGUUCAAGCAAGAGUCGUGCUUGUUCCCUUUGAACUUCCCUUCUUCUCUGCAACAGGAAAAUGGGCUUAAGCACUCAGACAAGGGGUGUCUCAAGGCUGGCCCCAGUGAGCUUUAAGUGGAAAGCAGAGAUAGGUGAAAAAACGCAGAUGGAAAGUCAUCCGACAGUGGCAGAAUUAUUCAGUAGGUGAGGUAACACUGAGAAAAGAUUUCAGUUUAGAAGGUGAGAGGUAAGUGCAGCACGGACGAGCCACGUGUCCUUCCAUCUGAGUGUGGAAGAUUCGGGUCUCCCGUCGCAGCUGCGCUGCAACCCCGUCCUUGGGUUUCUUGGCUUAUUGUCCCAGUGAGGGGCCCUUCCUCCCGUCCUCAUGGGGCGUGGUCGGCAGCAGCUGCGCCGGGAAAUAAGUGGCUGCGAGUUCUGUUGCCCGCCCUUGGCUCUGGGCUGCUUCUUGCCCCUUUCUCCCCAAAGGCAUUUGUGCCUGACGUGUGGGGAGGCCUCCAGGGAGCAGGUACCACUAGAAGGGGCCCUCGUGUUUCCUUGGCAAUGAUUUUCUACAUUUUUUCCAUGUCUUAAUUCCCUCUGCAUAGACCAGUUUUCUUUGGUAACAGAGAAUGCAUUUCUCUUUAAGUUUGUAAAAGGAGCUACAUGAAAUUCUCCAGACACAUGUUUAAAAUGUGUGGUCAAACUGGCAUCUGUCCUUGGCCAUGGCCAGUGGUGGAGAAUUUUUAAGUUUGUCUGAUGACACCUCAAAGAGAAUUUUUUUUUUUUAAUGGAACAUCAGGCCCUCAAUUCUGAAUUGUUCCCACAUUUCAGAUCUCACCAGUGGACCUUUCAACUUUAUGCUGUUUUUGUUGUUAAUGAAAAGCUCCAUUAUUCAUUUAUGAAGCCUGGUUCUUUUUAGUGUUUUGGCUUGAGAGAAGGAUUUGAUUUGGAAAGUUAACCUGUGGAAUAAAUCACAUCUCACGUGAAACCGUUUAGAGACAAAUGGGCUUUUAUAACAUGGACCGUGAGAUCAAGUUCGGUUUCUCCAAGGAGUUGCCAUAGUCAGUAGACUCCAAAGGCCUCUACUGUUAGAGGGAAAUUUAAGCUACGGAAAACUUGCUCUUCCAAACAAGAAGAAAGCAUUUCCCCUCGUCGCCUGGAGUCCUCUGCUCUGUUGCUCUAGGGUGUCAGUCCCUGCUGCAGGUGCCGAGGCAGGUCAAGAUGGAAAGGCCAGCUCAGAUUCACCACCACCGAAGUGCCCGAAGCGACGAGAAAGUAUCCCCCACCUUGUAAAUUCGGCUUCACUCCACUUUGAUUUUGCAAAAGAUCUGCAUUAGUACCUGUUUUCACGAACCAAAAGAAAUCCGGGAGGACUUUCACUUUUACAGGAGAAGGGGAGAAGCAGAGCUGGCGUUCAGGGCUGGCUCUGCGGUUAGUCACUAUACCUAUACCGUCAGCGCCACCCCAGGCAGCCCGGUGGCCCGGGCAGUCUCCUUUCCCGGGGGCCAGCCUUGGUGUCAAGCCCCAGAGCUCCAAGCAGCGUCCGUGAGCAUCCGGUUCUCUCUUCAUCGGCGUGAUACGUCCAGGCAGUACGGCACGGCCUCAGGGUUUUACAUGCGCACAUAUGGUCCUCCUAGUUAAUUUGAAAACUGACUCUGGCUGCAGCCGGGACAACGUGGGAUCCUCAACCUGUUGCGCACUGCGAGAAGGUCCUCGUUUUCGUUCAACGUCUUUGUCUCCUUUUUGUAUUGGGGUAAAAAUUAGAAUGUGUUGGUAUAUAUUCCUUCCUUGUCGGUUUUCUGAAAGAGUUGGUGCAGAAUUGGCAUUAUUUCUUCCUUAAAUAUUUGGCACAAUUUACAAGUGAAGCCAUCUGGGCUUGGUGAUUGUUUUGUGGGAAGGUUUUAACUACAAAAUCAACUUACUAAGCAAAGGGAUAAUCAAGUUAUCUAUUUCUUCUUGAGUAAAAGCUUUGGUAGUUUUGUGUCUGAACCAGUCUGCCCAUUUCGUCUAAGUAGAUGGUUUAUUGGCAUAGGGUGGUCAUGACGUAACCUGAAUAUACUUUUUUAACAUCUGAUGUCACCUCCCUCCCCCUUGAUGUUGGUAUAUGUGUCUUCUUUAUUUUUUUCCAGAAUGGUCCAGCUCUACGUUUAUACUUUUUAUAGAUCCUCUCAAAGAACCAGUGCCUUGUUUAAUUGCUUUUUCUCCAUUUUUUGCUAUUCUGUAUUUUAUUGAUUUCUGCACCAAUCUUUAUUUUUUAUUUCUUCCACAAUUGCCUUGAGUUUGCUCUUCUUUUUCUAGUUUCUUAGGUGGAAGCUGAGGUCAUUGAUUGGAGACUUCUUUUCUAAUAGAAACAUUUAAUACUGUAAAUUUCUCCCUGAGCACUUCUGUAACAGCAUCCUACCAAUUUUGAUAUGCUGUGUUUCCAUUUUCCUUCCAUUCGAAAUAUUUUCUAAUUCUCUUUGGGUUAUUUGACCCCUAGGUUAUUUUGACGUAUGUUAUUUAGUUUCCACGUAUUUGGGGAAUUUUCAGAUCUCUUUCUGUUGCUGAUAUCUUUACACACGUGCGCUGAUCUGCAUUCAGCCGAAUGUGGUGCUCUGUGCACCUGUUCUCUGUGGCCCUUUGUUUCAUGAACGGUCGCUGCUUUGCUCUCCCCAGCUCCCGGCUGCGUCUCUUUAACUCGGCACGUUUCAGGUGCCUCUCAGGCUUCCCCUCCCUGUUUCACCCCCCCCGCCCCCGGUGACUUUCAGCGUUGAGUAAUUGUAGGGCUCACUUGUUUUUUUCUCCCAUCUUUCAGAGACCACCGUCCUUCACUGGCUGAUGCCUCGUGUCUUGAAAACUUUGUUUUAUACAUUCUGUUGGUUUUCUGGUUUCAGACUGGGGAGUAAUUCUAACUCCCGUGACUUCGUCGUGCCUCGAAGUAGAAGUCUAGACAUCUGGAUUUGGACAUCUGGAUUCAUCCCUUGCUGUAUCCUCUAGGUUCUUUAAGGACACCGUCAAAGAUGGUGACCGACGCAGACCCUUGUAAAACGUCACAAGACUGGCAUACUUGUAGGUGAUAAGGACGGAGAAAUAAAACAUAGGAUCUCAGCCCGGCCUUACAGGCGUAAGUAUCAGCCUUGCUCUGGCUGGAGCCGGCCCACAUUAGAGAGAGAGAUGGGUCAGGAGGAAAAUCCCGAAGCUUGGAUGCUCUGCUCACCUGCCACGUUCAUCGUUCCGUGGGAGCUGAAUGAGCAGGCUCCCCGCCCCGCCCUUGCUGUACGAACACAGGCCGUGUACUGCGGGUCCCUUCCCGGGAGAGCAGAGGACUUGGCGGGAGCGGGCGGCCGGCCAGUCCUUUCCGGAUGAAGAUGCAGAGAUUUUCACCGCCGAUGCUUUUCUAAAGUUGUUCACUGGUCCUCCUCUACGUGAAAGAUGGGACAAGUUGGCAACUUCUCUUGAAAAAAAUGUGGGCCGUGCUUCUUUUUCCGGAAAGAGUUCAUAGUUUCCUAUCAGCAGCAUUUUAUAGGGAGAUCAUGAAGCCAGUCGUCCAGACGCCGGGUUCUCGGCGGGUCAUUCCUCUUACGAGACACCUUGAACUGUCAGAUGUAACUAGUCUUCAAAGAAUGCAGAACUCUUAGGAGGACGACGGCCCUUCCUUCCAAGAUGUUUGUGAAAUUGCUGAGGGAUAAAGGGUUGAUGAACUUGAUAGAUUCUUCCCUGGAGAUGGAGGCAUUAAAUACUGACGCCAACCGUACAGCCAAAUGUGGAGCAAUAAACACUCUCCCUUGA
Sus scrofa (pig) is the source of this 10681-nucleotide non-coding RNA. Lineage: Eukaryota; Metazoa; Chordata; Mammalia; Artiodactyla; Suidae. The record is from RefSeq and is a predicted model, not a curated record.